AGCCAGGAGUAAAUAUUUUUGGUUCAACCUGCCCAAUGUAAUAAAUUAAUGGCCGCGGUACCCUGACCGUGCUAAGGUAGCGUAAUCAGUUGGCUUUUAAAUGGAGUCAGGAAUGAAUGGAAAAACCUGGUUUAGCUGUCUCUUAACUAUUCAAUUGAAUUUACUUUCUAAGUGAAAAAGCUUAGAAAUAGAAAAGGGAGGAGAAGACCCUUAGAAUUUUACUAAAUUAAAUGUGUGGUAUACAUUUAGUUGUUUUGUUGGGGUGACAUGGAAAUAUUUCUUAACUUUCCAAAAAAAUAAGACAAUUAUAAUAAGAAAGAAAAAAUUACCUGAGGGAUAACAGCAUAAUACUAUAAAUGGGUUUGUGACCUCGAUGUUGGACUAGGAAACUGAUAAACUAGCCGUUUAUUGUGUUGGUUCUGUUCGAACUAGAAUUCCU
RNAcentral lists this ribosomal RNA (439 nucleotides) under Dermatobranchus sp. SRR3726698. RNAcentral describes it as "partial large subunit ribosomal RNA". It matches the Rfam family "Archaeal large subunit ribosomal RNA", at positions 1920 to 2666 of the family's 2987-position model. The record is from RNAcentral. Lineage: Eukaryota; Metazoa; Mollusca; Gastropoda; Nudibranchia; Arminidae.